Molecule: transfer RNA, 71 nt
Filed under: Ixodes scapularis (black-legged tick)
Lineage: Eukaryota; Metazoa; Arthropoda; Arachnida; Ixodida; Ixodidae
Description: tRNA-Phe
Source: RNAcentral
UCCUGGUUUUCUCAGUUGGUAGAGCGCUCCACUAAAAAUGGUGACCCUUGGUUCGAUACCCGGACCGGGAG